Long non-coding RNA from Ixodes scapularis (black-legged tick), 474 nucleotides. RefSeq lists it as uncharacterized. The record is from RefSeq and is a predicted model, not a curated record. NCBI's taxonomy places the organism in Eukaryota, Metazoa, Arthropoda, Arachnida, Ixodida, Ixodidae. The transcript has 3 exons.
CGGCCCAGAGCCGAGCCAGACGCUGCCUGUCCUUCUGGCUGUGCCAAGCCCAGUGCCCGGGCCCUCGCAAACGAUCCCCUCGGAACCAAGCCAGGCGCCUCAGUAAGAGAUGCUCUUUCGUUUUGCUUGUUGCAUCGAAUGCAAGAAUGCUCUGGAUACCCAUUUUGCUUUUUGCCCUCUCCAGACUUCCCGGCCCAGAGCCAAGCCAGACGUUGCCUGUCCUUCUGGCUGUGCCAAGCCCAGUGCCCGGGCCCUCGCAAACGAUCCCCUCGGAACCAAGCCAGGCGCGCCCUCAGCCUCCCUGCGUGGCUGAAGAGCUAAGUCGGUCACCGCCUGUCCUCACACCUGUCCUGAGCCCAGUGCCUAGUCAUGGAUCAGACUCUGCCCUCUUGACAACUCCCGUAGCGAGGUGCCUGAAAAGAAAAGCCCCUGAAGACAGUAGCAGCGGCAAGCGGCGGCUGCUGACCCCAAAGA